GCCCUUCCCAAUGCGCGGCAAACUCCCUAUAUUCGAUCCGUCAGCUUGUCUGACUAUGGCGAUAAACGGCCGAUGAAAUAAGCCAUUCGGACCCGGGGGCGGUACCCGGCGCCUCCACCAUAAGCUGCUGUUCUGCGGCAGUUUUUGAUGGGGGCGAAAUAGGAUCGACGAGGGUGUAAAUAUCGGACUUUUGCCCGGCAUAGUACCACCGUUAUCGGGCUAAACCUGUAGUUGCAAACGACAACUAUGCUGAGGCACGUCUCGCUGCUUAAUGCAGUGCGAUAGUCUCGAAUCAAGCCCUAGAGGUUAGCACUUCUAGGCGGGGCUCGGAGGCGCCUGGCAACAGAAGCCUCCACU
This 357-nucleotide transfer-messenger RNA is filed under the name Rhizobiaceae bacterium. It matches the Rfam family "Alphaproteobacteria transfer-messenger RNA". Rfam says of the family: Bacterial tmRNA, also known as 10Sa RNA or SsrA, is named for its dual tRNA and mRNA-like properties. Its role is to liberate the mRNA from a stalled ribosome. The record is from RNAcentral. Lineage: Bacteria; Pseudomonadati; Pseudomonadota; Alphaproteobacteria; Hyphomicrobiales; Rhizobiaceae.